Molecule: ribosomal RNA, 499 nt
Filed under: uncultured bacterium
Lineage: Bacteria
Description: bacterial SSU rRNA
Rfam family: Bacterial small subunit ribosomal RNA
Source: RNAcentral
UCAGGAUGAACGCUAGCGACAGGCCUAACACAUGCAAGUCAGGGGCAGCACAAGGAGCAAUCUGAGGUGGCGACCGGCGCACGGGUGAGUAACACGUAUGCAACCUGCCUGUAAGCGGGGAAUAACCCGUUGAAAGACGGACUAAUACCGCAUAAUACUAAAUUACUGCAUGGUAAUUUAUUUAAACAUUUAUGGCUUACAGAUGGGCAUGCGCAUGAUUAGCUAGUUGGAGAGGUAACGGCUCCCCAAGGCAACGAUCAUUAGGGGUUCUGAGAGGAAGGUCCCCCCACACUGGUACUGAGACACGGACCAGACUCCUACGGGAGGCAGCAGUGAGGAAUAUUGGUCAAUGGACGAGAGUCUGAACCAGCCAAGUCGCGUGCAGGAAGAAUGUCCUAUGGAUUGUAAACUGCUUUUGCAGGGGAAUAAAGUGCAUCACGUGUGAUGUUUUGUAUGUACUCUGCGAAUAAGGAUCGGCUAACUCCGUGCCAGCCGCAGC